RNAcentral lists this non-coding RNA (140 nucleotides) under Lottia gigantea (owl limpet). RNAcentral's name for it is "eukaryotic small subunit ribosomal RNA". It matches the Rfam family "Eukaryotic small subunit ribosomal RNA", at positions 985 to 1112 of the family's 1831-position model. The record is from Rfam by way of RNAcentral. Lineage: Eukaryota; Metazoa; Mollusca; Gastropoda; Lottiidae.
GAAGGUGGGUGGAGCAAAGACGAUCAGAUACCGUCGUAGUACCGACGGUAAACGCUGCCGACCGGGCCGCGGACGAGGCUCGAGAACAGCGGUUAUGGACCCGUCCGUGGCGGCUUCGGGCAACCUGAGAGUUUACGGGU